GUUGAAGAACGUAGCGAAAUGCGAUAAGUAAUGUGAAUUGCAGAAUUCAGUGAAUCAUCGAAUCUUUGAACGCACCUUGCACCCUUUGGCAUUCCGAAGGGUAUGCUCGUUUGAGUGUCAUUGUACUCUCACUCUCCCGAUGCUUUUGGAUCGGGAGUGGUGGACUUGGGUGUUGCUGCUUUGCUGUGGCUCGCCUCAAAUGGAGUAGUGCAACUCUUGGUUGGACAUAGUACGGCGUGAUAAGUGUCUUCGCCGGCGCCUCAUUAUAGAGGGUGGCCGAUCGGGAGCUCUGUGCUUCAAACCGUCUUCGGACAACAUCUGACAACUUGACCUCAAAUCGAGUAGGACUACCCGCUGAACUUAAGCAUAUCAAUAAGCGGAGGA
Molecule: unclassified non-coding RNA, 384 nt
Filed under: soil metagenome
Description: partial contains 5.8S ribosomal RNA, internal transcribed spacer 2, and large subunit ribosomal RNA
Rfam family: 5.8S ribosomal RNA (bases 1-120)
Source: RNAcentral